RNAcentral lists this ribosomal RNA (478 nucleotides) under uncultured bacterium. Its description in RNAcentral is "partial 16S ribosomal RNA". It matches the Rfam family "Bacterial small subunit ribosomal RNA", at positions 28 to 507 of the family's 1533-position model. The record is from RNAcentral.
GAUGAACGCUGGCGGCGUGCUUAACACAUGCAAGUCGAACGGGAAACCUCUUAUUGAAGCUUCGGCAGAUUUAGCUGGUUUCUAGUGGCGGACGGGUGAGUAUCGCGUGGGUAACCUGCCUUCUACAGGGGGCUAACAAUCAGAAAGGAUUGCUACUCCCGCAUAAGCGUACAGGAUCGCAUGGUUCGGUGGUAAAAACUCCGGUGGUAUCAGAUGGACCCGUGUUGGAGUCGCUAGCUUGCAGAGUAAUGGCCUACCAACGCGACGAUCCAUAGCCGGGCGGAGAGGGUGAACGGCCACAUUGGGACUGAGACACGGCCCAGAAUCCUACGGGAGGCAGCAGUGGGGAAUAUUGCAGAAUGGAGGAUACCCUAAUGCAGCGGCGCCGCGUGAAGGAGGAAGUAUCUCGUUAUGUAAAUUUCUAUCAGCAGGAGAGUUAGUGACGGUACCUGACUAAGAAGCCCCGGCUAACUACGUG